Acinonyx jubatus (cheetah) is the source of this 5170-nucleotide long non-coding RNA. RefSeq lists it as uncharacterized. NCBI's taxonomy places the organism in Eukaryota, Metazoa, Chordata, Mammalia, Carnivora, Felidae. The record is from RefSeq and is a predicted model, not a curated record. The transcript is spliced from 8 exons.
GCCCGCUUGGCGGGCGGGGGCGUCGCUGCGUCGAGCGUGGUCCCGGGCUGCUCGGGCCGCGCGGGCGCCGGCGAGCGUCGUCCGCGGCGCGCGGUGGGCUGUCCGGGAAGGCUCGUGGGGACCCGCCGUGCCUCCGACCUCGCCCCACGGCCGCGCUCCCCGCCGCCCGCCCUCCCGCGCGUCAGGCUAAGAGACGGCUGGCUCGGCGCCUAGCCGCCGCGGACGCGACCGGGAAGCAGCACUUUCACGGACUCGGCUGGCGCGUUCGAGCCCUUCUUCCAGCGAAUCGUGACUCACCCGUCCCUCGCACCGGACACCGUCCCUGUCUGUCCCCGGCCGGUCCUCACUGCCCCCCGGGAGCCCUUUCCGAAGUAGCAUCGCCCACCCGCUGGCUUGACUGGCUGCGGCGCGUUGUGUUUUUUCGGGGCGCCGGGCAGGAGCCCCCCACAUCCGACGACAAAUAAAGCCUCCGGGGAGAAGCGCUGGGUGGAAUAGCAGCCCUCCUCAAGUCAGCCGCCACCUCCCCUCUGUCCUCGACCCUUUCUGCCCUGAACCACCCAGCCGGGCACACACAGGGGCCAUGGUGCCAGUCUGCAGCAGGAGACAGAGAAGGAAACGGUCACACGGGCAAACUGUGGGCCCUCACCCCCAUUCUACGCCUUGGCAGGAAGAGCCCUGGAGGCCCGGCAGAGCAACGAGCCACUUGCAGAGGAUGAGAAGGGCCCAUUUCCCACUGGACAUCCACUUGGGAGGAAGGUGUAGUGUCAUGACAACCGUGGUCACCCCCAGGCCACUGAGCCUUGAGAAGACAUGGCAGGGGGUCACCUGAGGCUGCUUCCAUAAGCCAGGUCUCAGUGAGGCCUCGGGCCACUCAGGCGGGACUCAAGAGGAUCUUUUCCCACGGCAACGCACCCGGGCCGUCCACCAGGCCUCCAAGCUCCCACAUCCUAUGUUCUAUGAAAUCCAUGUGAAUGUUGCCCUGGAGACGGAGAGAACCUGUGGCAGCUUUGAAUGCAACUUACAUGCCAGAGGGAGAACAGGUCACCCCAGAAAGCCCUUGACAUCCGAGGUUUGCUCCCUCUGAUGCCCAGGUGCCAAUGUGGCGCUCGGGGAUGCCCCGGAUCCGGGCGUACAUGACCAGCGUCUCCCAGCCCGUCAUGUGGUUGAGCAGGGUGUCAAACGGGACAGUAGCCCACCCACUGCCGCACCUGGUGGGGGGGGUGGCACCUCAGAAGGAAAGCCGCCCGGUGCACGGGGGGCCCGGACGCCUGCCCUGGCCUUGCCCCCCCCCCCCCCCCCCGGCUCCUGCUCUGCCCCGUGCAUCCCCACAUUUGCCAUGUAGACAGACGUGUGCCCGGCUGCAGCGCUCGCUGGCGGGGUCUGUGGACGGGGCACACGAGGGGCCCUUCUGCCUGGCCAGCAUGAAACCUCAGUGCUCAGCGCCUGCCUGCCUCGUGCCCUUCCAGGUGCCAGACUGCUCUGGACACCACCGUCUGGGGCAGGGUGAGCAGCUCUGACCGGGUGCAGACCUGAAAACCGCCUGGAUGGAGUGAACUAGGGGACAACGUGCCAGGACAUCCCACAACCGAGGGCAGGGCUCCCCCUGAAGACAGAUGCCACCGGGCAGGAGCAAAGUGCCGGGAGGAAACACGGACUUGACAGAAGAGGCUUCGAGCAUCUCACUAUGAGACAUGAAGAUUUCUGACGUGUGCCAAAAUGCUUGGUGUGAAUUUUGGGAAACCCAGCAAGAGCUCAGCUGCCUCGUGAAACGCAUCUGCAGAAGGGGAAGAAGUUUGCCGAACCCCGCCCUAGGCCAAAAGAGGUAUUCCUUGCGGGCAGCAAACCGUUCGGAAGCCGAGAAAUAUAUUUUUACUCAUAAUCUUCAGGUCGGUUAUUCUACUCCUGGGAGUGCGUCACAAUGAAACAGUGCAGUAAAUUGUAGCUCAUUUUCCCUGCAAUAGAGUUCUGUAAAUGGCGGUGUGGCCCAGAUUCUCCCCAAACUUAGCAGCUUAAAACAACCGUAAACGUUUGCUGUGUCACACAGUUCUGUGGGCCAGGCGUUCGGAAGUGGCUCGGCAGGGUGGUGCUGUCUCCGGGGCUCUCAGGAGGCUGCAGUCGAGCUCUGGGCCUGGGCUGCAGUGGUCUGAAGGCUGGACUGGGGCGGGAGGCCCCACUCCCAAGACGGUGCCCUCAUGUGGCUGGCUUAACAGCUGGCUCUCCCAGUGGAGUUGUUUUUUUUAUUAUUAUUAUUAUUAUUUUUUAACGUUUAUUCUUGAGAGACAGAGAGACACAGAGCAUGAGCAGAGGAGGGGCAGAGAGAGAGAGGGAGACACAGAAUCCGAAGGGCUCCAGGCUCCGACACGGGGCUUGAACUCACAAACUGUGAGAUCAUGACCUGAGCCAAAGUCAGUCACCUAACCGACUGAGCCACCCAGGUGCCCCUCUACCAGUGGAGUUCUGACAAGAAUGUUGGUUUUAAUUCACAUUAAUGAUGAGGAUAAAAGUGAAUAGCAGUGGCGUGUGUCAGAACUUCACUCGUGCUUCCCCCAGGCAAGCCACACUGUUGCUGACUUGAAUACUACUGUUCUAAUGCUGGAAGAAUAUUUCCCUAAGUUUUUGUGUUCUUAAUGAAAUGGCUCGGGAUAGGAGACACUUUUCAACUUAGUUUGCAUUAUUAACAUUUUCACCACCACUUUCUUAAUCUAGACAAUCAACAAAAUGUUAAAUUAAACCCUAGUGUUACCUGUUUACCCGGUUCCAUGACGUAAGUUCACGCAUGAUGGUUGAUUUCAAAUUAUCGACACAGCACAUCCAUCAUGCGGAUUUAAGUAGACGUAAAAAAAACCUUAAGAGCACUGAUAAUAGUACAAUGUAGCCAAACCGUGACGUCUUGUGUAUUGCCAUUUACAAUGUUUUGAUUUAUAACUUAUAGUUUUAUAAUCUUAUAACAGGAAAUUUAUGUUCAGUCUUCUGUUCCUAGCACUGAGCUCCCAAAACAUUUAUACAUUCCUAAAUGGUGACCUCAGGUAAGGCGUGUUGAGUUGUGUUGUGUUGUGUGACCGAGGUGACUUUGGAAAGGACCUGAGGAUGGGGACUGGUUGCCGAGAGAACCAUCCAUGGGAUUCGAGGGUUGGAACUUUCAGGCCCCCCUCCCAGCCUCCUGGGAAGGGACAGGGGCUGGAAAUUGAGUUCAAGUGCCAGCGGCCAAUGAUUUAAUCAAUCAAUUAUACCUGUGUAAUGAAGCCUCCACAAAAACCCAAAUGGGCAGAGAACCCAAAGCGCUUCCGGGUUGGUGUCCCGGGAGGUGCCGGGAGAGCAGUGCCGUCAGAGAGCACGGACGCUUUGCAGCGCUGCCCUGUGUAUGUGUUCAUCUGGCUCCUGUAUCAUGUUCUGUAUAAUGAACUGGUCGAUGUCGGUGUUUUUGUGAGCUCUGUGAGCCAUUGUAGUGAGUUAAUUGAAGAAGCGGUUGUGGGAACGUCCAGUUUAUGGCCGGUGGGUCAGAAGCACAGGUGACCACAUGAAGCUGUGACUGGGGUCUAGAGUCAGGGAGUGGGGGGCGUUCUUGCAGGACUGAGCCCUUAAGCUGUGGGUUCUGAUGCUCUUCUCCAGAGAGAGAGCGUCAGGGUGAAGUUAACUGCUUGGUGGUGUGAAAAAAAAUAAAACAAAACUGGGGCGCCUGGGGGGCUCAGUCAGUUAAGUUUCCGACUUCAGCUCAGGUCAUGAUCUCCGCGUUGUGGGUUCGAGCCCCGCAUCGGGCUCUAUAGCGACAGCUCAGAGCUUGGAGCCUGCUUCAGAUUCUGUGUCUCCUCUCUCUCUCUCUUUCUCUCUGCCCCUCCCUUGCUCAUUCUCUCUCUCUCUCUGUCUCAAAAAUAAAUAAAUGUUAAACCCUGCCCCACACUUUGGAAUUGAUAUCAAAAUUGUGCUACAGUUUUUUAUUGUGAUUUAUUGACCAGCUUAUGCAAUUGAAUUUUUAAUAAGAGCCGUGUUUAGCUGGUUCACAAAAUUCUUGAUAAUUUAAUAUUCGGCUCUCGUGAGCUGAGCUGAGCUGAGCCAGCUCCAGCACACCUCUGGCAGGGGCCUCGAUUCCUUGUUGGCUGUUGGCAAAAGCCUCGGUUCCGGGCCACGUGGACUUCUCCCUGAGGCCGUGUGAGUGUCCUCCCAAGACGGUGGCUGGCUUCUCCCAGCCUGGGCCUGAGACGGAGAGAUAGAGGUACAGUGUCUCUCGUGAGCUAGCCUCAUUACUCACUCGUCAGUUCCGCAAAACCUUGCUGCCUUUAUGGGUCAGCCCUAUUUACAGCGAUGGCUAGCCUGGCAGGCCCCGCCUGUGCCGAGACCCCGCCUCUGCUCUCGACCAGACCAUUUCUCCUGGACUUUCCUAGGCUUUCUACUUGUCCUUUCGUUAGCUUUCCUACAGAUUGGGGGAUGUUAGUGAGCAUUAUCAGGAUUUGCGUGGCCUCUCUUCAGGGCUUCAGCUGGUACCCGAGGAAGGUGUGUGGGGAAAGACAGGAGCCACACAGCACUUUGCCACGAUAUUUUCUUUGGUCCCGUGAAACGUUGUGUCAAGGUUGUAUUCUGAAGUUUUCCUCAUUCAGUUUCUGCUGGUCGGAUUUUUUGCUGGAGGGGCUGUUUAAGAAAUAAGACUGUCAUUUAUUGAGACUGAAUUCCAGGAAGGAAGGGAGGGGAGUUUUCUACAGCGGGACGUUGGUGGCCACCACACCACGGUGUCUCCAAACAGAUUAAGUACAGGCUAAGAGCUGGUCCGAGAGCUUCCGCACUGCGCUGGGCAGCCUCUGACUGGCCCUCCAAACCCCAAAUGCUCAUGCUCUGUCAUGACCUCCCUCAGUCUCCUCCCGGUUUUAUUGAAAUAUAAUUGACAUUUAACCUUGUGUAGUUUAAGGUGCACAACAUAAUGGCCCGAUAUAUGUAUAUACGUGAAACCGUCACACAAUUAAGCUCAGUUAGCGUCCACCUUACAGACUUAGGGUAUUUUUGCUUGUGGUGAGAACUUUUAAGAUCUACUCUCUUGCUAACUGUCGGAUAUACAAUAAAUACAGUGUUGUCAACCACAGUCACCAUACUCUCCUUACUUCUCUUGUAACUGGAAGUUUGUGCCUUUGCCUCCCCUUGCCCAGUUCCCUCACCCACCCCCACCCGCUGCUCCCGGCCACCA